UACUCUUGACAUCCAGAGAACCCUUUAGAGAUGGAGGGGUGCCUUCGGGAGCUCUGAGACAGGUGCUGCAUGGCUGUCGUCAGCUCGUGUUGUGAAAUGUUGGGUUAAGUCCCGCAACGAGCGCAACCCUUAUCCUUGUUUGCCAGCACGUAAUGGUGGGAACUCCAGGGAGACUGCCGGUGAUAAACCGGAGGAAGGUGGGGACAACGUCAAGUCAUCAUGGCCCUUACAAGUAGGGCUACACACGUGCUACAAUGGCAGAUACAGAGGGCAGCGAACCUGCGAAGUGGAGCGAAUCCCUUAAAGUUUGUCGUAGUCCGGAUUGGAGUCUGCAACUCGACUCCAUGAAGUCGGAAUCGCUAGUAAUCGUGGAUCAAAAUGCCACGGUGAAUACGUUCCCGGGUCUUGUAACACACCGA
RNAcentral lists this ribosomal RNA (419 nucleotides) under Salinibacter sp. enrichment culture clone TTGE_BC_88. Its description in RNAcentral is "bacterial SSU rRNA". It matches the Rfam family "Bacterial small subunit ribosomal RNA", at positions 976 to 1393 of the family's 1533-position model. The record is from RNAcentral. Lineage: Bacteria; Pseudomonadati; Rhodothermota; Rhodothermia; Rhodothermales; Salinibacteraceae.